This 471-nucleotide ribosomal RNA is filed under the name uncultured bacterium. RNAcentral describes it as "bacterial SSU rRNA". It matches the Rfam family "Bacterial small subunit ribosomal RNA", at positions 328 to 793 of the family's 1533-position model. The record is from RNAcentral.
CUCUGUGACUCCUACGGGAGGCAGCAGUGGGGAAUAUUGCACAAUGGGCGCAAGCCUGAUGCAGCCAUGCCGCGUGUGUGAAGAAGGCCUUCGGGUUGUAAAGCACUUUCAGUUGUGAGGAAGGUGGUGUCGUAAUAGCGGCAUCAUUUGACGUUAGCAACAGAAGAAGCACCGGCUAACUCCGUGCCAGCAGCCGCGGUAAUACGGAGGGUGCGAGCGUUAAUCGGAAUUACUGGGCGUAAAGCGCAUGCAGGUGGUUUGUUAAGUCAGAUGUGAAAGCCCGGGGCUCAACCUCGGAACUGCAUUUGAAACUGGCAGACUAGAGUACUGUAGAGGGGGUAGAAUUUCAGGUGUAGCGGUGAAAUGCGUAGAGAUCUGAAGGAAUACCGGUGGCGAAGGCGGCCCCCUGGACAGAUACUGACACUCAGAUGCGAAAGCGUGGGGAGCAAACAGGAUUAGAUACCCUGGUAG